This 4395-nucleotide unclassified non-coding RNA is filed under the name Melitaea cinxia (Glanville fritillary). RNAcentral describes it as "misc RNA ENSMCXG00005021456.1". Lineage: Eukaryota; Metazoa; Arthropoda; Insecta; Lepidoptera; Nymphalidae. The record is from RNAcentral.
CAAAAUUAAUGAAAUUUAUAAUGAUGUGCAGUGAAAAACUCAGUCUAUUAAUCAGUAUUCUUUAUUUAACACAAAUAGACACACUAUUACAGACGCCAUAUUUUCUUAAGCAAAAGUGAUACAGAGAAGCGGAAGACAAUUAAUUAUACUUAAGUUCUACAAUGACAGUAGAUGUCAAUUUGCCACAGAUACAUUUCCAACACCCCGGCUCAAGUUCAAGUUCUAUUUUUUGCUCUGUUAAAUUAAAAAAAUAAACUUGGACUUGUUACAAUCAAAAUCUACAAACUAAUUUAUAACAUGGCAACACAUACUUGGAAUGUCACGUCAGUUGACUUUGGCAUUUCUACUUUGACAUUCCAAUUUUGACAUUUUUCAAAUCGACAUUGACAUUUGAAAGUAAACAAACUCGUAAUACCUAACUUAAAUUAAUACUUUAACUAACAAAACCAAAACAAACUUUCUGCUGUAACAAAAGACAAUUAUUCUAAAACUAAAAAAAAACUAAAUCACUUUUAAACUUAAAAGUCUAUACCAAGUAUUUUACACAAAUAAUGGUGUCUUGUUUUUGACAAAGACUUGUUAAUGCUGCUGCAAUAUACUCCGAUUCAGCUGUUGAUAGCGCAACAGUUGACUGCUUUUUCGAACUCCAGCUGACUAAAUUUCCUCGGUGAAAGAUAGCAGUUCCACUUACACUUUUGCGGUCUACACGGUUUCCUCCCCAGUCCGCAUCUGAAAAAGCUUGUAAAUAAUUACCUUCUUCUUUUUUAUAAACUAAUCCUUUUUCUUUUGUCUGUUUCAGGUAUCUCAGAAUUCUCUUCCCUGCUUUCCAUAAUGUGGCGGUUGGACAAUGCAUAUAUCUACUUAUAAAACCUGUUGCAUAUGCAAUGUCUGGCCUGCUGAUUGUCGCUAGAUACAUAAGUGACCCAACAAGUUCUCUGUAUGGAAUGUUGGUCAGGAUUUCUUCUUUUUCGUCAACGUUCAGGCCAACUUCCAUCGGUGUACUUAUACCUUUGCAAUCUUGCAUAUUAAAUUUUAAUAAAAUUUUCUCAAUAAUUUGUGUCUGUUUAAUUUCCAUUCCUUGAUUAAGUCUUGUAAUUUCCAUUCCUAAAAAUUUACUUAUAUUUCCCAUGUCUCUAGCUUGAAACUCCUUUUUUAACUCUUGUAUUAUUGACUGACCAUCUCCAACUAUUAAGAUAUCAUCCACAAAUAUUAAAAUAUACACAUUUUUCCCAGUAUAUAGGCAAAAAUCAUGUGGGGAUUGUUUCAAACCAUUCUUUAUAAGGAAAUCAUUUAGCUUUUCAUUCCAACAACGUGGUGACUCUUUUAAACCAUAUAAAGCUUUUCUUAACUUUAACACGUAUCCUUCUUUCUUUUUCAAUCCUUCAGGAUAUUUAAUAUAAAUAUUUGUCUUUAAAUCUCCAUUUAAAAAUGCUGUAGGUAUGUCCAUCUGUCUUAUGGGUAAAUCUUCUUGAAUUGCUUUAUUCAAAAAUAAUCUGACUGUGGUCAUUCUAGCCACUGGCGCAUACACAUUGUGGGUGGUUUCCUCUUGAAAUCCCUUGGCGACAAGCCUGGCCUUCUUUACAUUGUCUGUCUUGGUACGAAAUACCCAUUUUGUGUCAAUUGCCUUUUGACCUCUUGGUAACUUGGUUUCUUCCCAUGUUUGUAACCUUUGAAGUGCCUCCAUCUCGCUAUUUAUAGCUUUUGACCAUUCCUCAUUUUGUAUUGCCUCUUUAUAGCUCUUUGGAUCUUCUGAUAGUAAAGCAUAUGCUAUAUUCGACAUAUCAUAAUCUUGAAAUCUCAUUGGUUUCUUUAUCACUCUUUUCUUUCUUUUAUUGCAGUUUUUCUCGUCAUCUGAGCUUUCAUCUUCUUCACUACUGCUGGAUGGUUCUAUUUCUGGUUCUUUAGAAGUAGAAGGGGUUUCUUUGGAUGUUGAUGUCUCGCUCUCUCCGUUUUCAUCAUAAUCUAUGUGUGAGAUUCUUUCAUUUUCUUCAUAUCUGUAGUUUGACUCAUCAAAUCGUACAUCUCUGGACUCAACUAUAUCAUUUGUUUUAGGAUCCCAUAGUCUGUAACCUGAGCCGCAAUAUCCAAUCAUAAUCAUGGGCUUCGCUCUUGGUUCCAAUUUGGUUAACCUUGGUAGAAGUACACACCAUGCCUUCGAGCCAAAAACUCUUAUUUUAUCUAGCUGACUCUUUCCAUACCAUACUCUCGCCGGUGUGUCACCUUCAAGUGCUUUUGUAGGUGAUCUAUUUAUGACAUAUGCUGCACACCUCAUGGCUUCACCCCACAGAUACUUUGGAAGAUUUGUCUCCAGUAACAUAGCUCUUACUCUAUCUGCUAGUGUCCGAUUCAUCCUCUCACAUAUUGAAUUUUGUUGUGGAGUAUAACUACAAGUAGUUUCCUGUACUAUACCAUUCUCUUCAUAGAAUAAUUUUAGGUCAUCAUUCACAAAUUCUCUGCCUCUGUCGGUUCUUAUUCUCUUUACAUUAAUAUCAUUAUUUCUAAGUCUUCUUAUGUAUUUUAUUAUAUAAUCUUUUGCUUCAUCCUUUGUUUUUAGUAAGUGAACCUCCAUAAAAUGUGAAUAAUCAUCUAUUAUUGUAAGGUAGUACUUUUCUCCAUCUUUACUUAUAGGUGUUAUCGGGCCACCAAUAUCACAGUAAAUUAAUUCUCCAAUUUUCUUUGUUCUUGGCUUUGGGGUUGAACUGAAUGAACAACGGGUUCCUUUAGCUUCCAUGCAUAUUGUGCAUCGUUCUUUAGAUAACGGUAAUCCUAGUAUCUUCAUACCUUGAUAGUUUAAGUGUCCCAUUCUCCUAUGCCAUAAAUUAUUUUCUGUCUUCUCUGUUAUUAACAUAUUUUCUCUGUUUAACUUUAAAUUUAAUGUAUACAGUUUUCCAUCAAUAUCUCCUUUAAUUUCUAUCUUUCCUCGACAAAUACUGACACCUUUUUUAUUAAAUAUAACUUUUAGAUCUUUCUCGUUCAACUUUAAAACAGAUAUAAGAUUGUGUGACAGUUUCUCCAUAAUAAGACAAUCUUUUAGUAAAAUUUUUAUUCCUUGUUUACAUAUUCCUGAUAAAUUACCUUUCUUUUUAGCUGAUAUCAUACUUCCAUUUGCAACUAAAACUUUAAUUUCUUGUAUCUCUUGUAUAUCAGUCAUAUAUUUCUCAAAUUCUGUAUUAAUCAUAUGGUACGAUGCUCCCGAAUCUAUUACAAAUUCUAUCUCAUUUUCAUAUGUAGCUGCUGUAUAAGCUUGAGAAGCAAUGAAUGUUAUCGCUUUAUUACUAUCAUUUUCUUCUCCUAAAUAUGCUCGGGGUCUAUUAUUUUUUCCUUUUGUUUUAAAUCCUCUGUAAUUUCCUCUACCUCGCUUUUGUGGAUUACUUGUCCUGGCUCUGUUUGUACAAUUUCUGGCUAUGUGAUUUGGCUCACCACAUGAAAAACAUUUUAUAGAGCUGCUUUCAAAUACAUAUUCUUGUUUACUUACUUUACUUUCUGAACUUUGCUUUUCUUUUAGCUCGGCAUCUAAAAACUUACUUUUUACAAACUCUAUUUUAAGUUCUAUAUUUGAAGUUUCUAGAGCAGUCACUAUGUGUGGGUAUGCUCCUUCCAUACUAAUUAAUAACUGACAUACUUUAUCUUUCUCUGUCAUUUUUGUGCCGUUCAACUCUAUUUCUCUAAUAAUCUUGUCAAAUUUGUUAAAGUGUUCCUCAACACUAUCUUGCCUUUUACAUUUUAAAUUAAUUAGGCUCCUCCUUAAAUAUAGAUUCGAAAUUGUUGAUUUUCGUUCAAAUACAUUUCUCAAGUUUUCAAUCAUUUCAUAUGCUGUUCCAGAAUCCUUCACAUACUCCAAAUGUUUGUCUGAAAGUGCUUGUACGAUGAUGUUGCGAGCCUUGGCGUCCGAUUUCUUUAAUUCUGCAUCUUUCAAAUCUGUUUUCUUACGUAUUGCAUUCACACACCCUUUUUCAUCCAUGGCGAUCUCUAUUCGAAAGAGCCAAUUUGUGAAAUUUCCACUUUCUAAUUGUGGUAUUUGGUUCACCGCAUGUGCCAUUGCUUAUAUUCCCCUUUUUUUAUCCUUGCUUUUGAAUAAAAAAUGUGAACCAACUGGGUGCUCGUUACUAGUGUGUCUUAACCUAGCCUUUUGACUAACACUGCCCUACAAACUUUGUCAUCUGACUGAAUUUUAAUAAUUUUGGUGGACUGGGCCCAUAACCUAAUGAAAUUUAUAAUGAUGUGCAGUGAAAAACUCAGUCUAUUAAUCAGUAUUCUUUAUUUAACACAAAUAGACACACUAUUACAGACGCCAUAUUUUCUUAAGCAAAAGUGAUACAGAGAAGCGGAAGACAAUUAAUUAUACUUAAGUUCUACAAUGACAGUAGAUGUCAAUUUGCCACAGAUACAUUUCCA